This 468-nucleotide ribosomal RNA is filed under the name uncultured bacterium. Its description in RNAcentral is "partial 16S ribosomal RNA". It matches the Rfam family "Bacterial small subunit ribosomal RNA", at positions 28 to 507 of the family's 1533-position model. The record is from RNAcentral.
GACGAACGCUGGCGGCGUGCUUAACACAUGCAAGUCGAACGGAAAGGCCCUGCUUUUGUGGGGUGCUCGAGUGGCGAACGGGUGAGUAACACGUGAGUAACCUGCCCUUGACUUUGGGAUAACUUCAGGAAACUGGGGCUAAUACCGGAUAGGAGCUCCUGCUGCAUGGUGGGGGUUGGAAAGUUUCGGCGGUUGGGGAUGGACUCGCGGCUUAUCAGCUUGUUGGUGGGGUAGUGGCUUACCAAGGCUUUGACGGGUAGCCGGCCUGAGAGGGUGACCGGCCACAGUGGGACUGCAAUACGGCCACAACUCCUGCGGGAGGAAGAAGUGGGGAAUAUUGCACAAUGGGCGGAAGCCUGAUGAAGCACCGCCGCGUGCGGGAUGGCGGCCUUCGGGUUGUAAACCGUUUUCGCCUGUGACGAAGCGUGAGUGACGGUAAUGGGUAAAGAAGCACCGGCUAACUACGUG